Molecule: RNA transcript, 2441 nt
Organism: Lycium barbarum (goji berry)
Lineage: Eukaryota; Viridiplantae; Streptophyta; Magnoliopsida; Solanales; Solanaceae
Gene name: heterogeneous nuclear ribonucleoprotein 1
Exons: 4
Source: RefSeq, a predicted model, not a curated record
AAUCUCUUCCAAAUUUAUCAGAUCAAAUCACACCCCCAAAAAUUUCUUUAUUUUCCUUUCCUUCUUUCCUCACUACACCACAUAUUCUUUCUUUCUUACCAAAAAAAAAAAAAAAAAAAAAAAAUUGUAAAAAAUUAAAGGCUAGAAACAAAAACAAAACAAUCUUUUUUCUUAGCUGAACAUAUUAUUGUAGUAUUCAUAAAUUGAUUGGAAAGAUUGGAAAGAGAAGAGAAAAGAGUGGGGGGCAAAAUAUAGAACAAAUCCUCAAGUUCUACUAUUGCCCCCUAAUUUAGAUCUUACUUUUUUUCUCAUCUUGGUAUUGCUUAAUUGGUUGAUUCUUGAUUUGGGAAAAUGCAAUCUGAUCUUGGAAAGUUAUUCAUUGGUGGAAUUUCAUGGGACACAAAUGAAGAGAGGCUGAAGGAGUAUUUUAGUACUUAUGGGGAGGUUUUAGAGGCUGUAAUUAUGAAGGAUAGGACUACUGGACGUGCCCGUGGUUUUGGUUUUAUUGUCUUUGCUGAUCCUGCUGUUGCUGAUCGGGUUAUCAAGGAGAAACACAAUAUUGAUGGCAGGAUGGUUGAAGCAAAGAAGGCUGUUCCAAGGGAUGACCAGAGCACAAUAGGUAGAAGUAGUCCUAGCAUUCAGGGUUCUCCUGGUCCAGGACGUACAAGAAAAAUAUUUGUUGGAGGUUUAGCAUCCACAGUAACUGAGGCUGACUUUAAGCAGUACUUUGAGCAAUUUGGAACGAUCACAGAUGUAGUAGUUAUGUACGACCAUAACACUCAGAGACCAAGAGGCUUUGGUUUCAUAACUUAUGAUUCAGAGGAUGCUGUGGAUCAAGUAUUGCUUAAGACCUUCCAUGAGCUGAAUGGUAAAAUGGUCGAGGUCAAACGUGCUGUCCCGAAAGAGUUAUCACCAGGUCCAAGACUUACUGGGUUCAACCAUCCAUUAGGUAGGAUCAGUAACUUCCUUAAUGGAUACAACACACAAGGAGGAUACUCUCCAAAUACAGUUGCAGGAUAUGGAGUUAGGAUGGAUGGUAGAUUUAGCCCCAUUGCUGGAGGUAGGAGUGGUUUUGCUCCGUUUGGUUCUGGUUAUGGAAUGGGUCUUAACUUUGAACCAGGGUUAAGCCCAGGAUAUGGGGGAAGUCCAGCAAACUUUAACAGCAACUUGAGCUACGGACGGGGACUGAGUCCUUAUUAUGUUAAUAGUUCAAAUAGAUUUGGUGGUCCUAUUGGGUUUGAUGGAGUAAAUGGAGGAGGAAGUAGUUCAUUCUUCAGCUCAGCAACUCGCAAUUUGUGGGGAAAUGGGGGUUUGGGUUAUGGAACAAACUCCAACAACUCUAGCAACUUUGCAGUAUCUGGAAGUGGGAACACUGGGGCAGGAAACUUUAGCAACACUGGAGUUUGGGGUUCAUCUUCAAUAUCCUCUCAAGGUAGAGGAACUGUUUCUAACCAAAGUGGAAAUCUUGGUUAUGGGGGUGAUGACAGUUUAUAUGGGUUGACUGGAGGAGGCUAUGGAAGAAAUGUCACAAGCGGGGCUCCUCCUACAUCAUCAUAUUCUGCAUCUAAUGGUAGCUAUGAUGGGGCUCUUGCUGAUUUGUACAGUGGUGGUUUGGGAUAUAGUGAUUCCACUUGGCGCUCUGAGCGAGAUGGAUCUGGUUCAAUUGGAUAUGGACUUGGAACUGCACCCUCAGACAUGCCACCUAAAAGUUCUGCUAGUUAUGUUGGCAGUUAUGGUGUUGGUAAAAGACAGACAAACAGCGGUAAGCUUCUCACUAACCCUAUAAAGCCAGAGGUAGCUUCACCUUGCUAAAUAUUCAUUGAAGUUUCUGAUGAACUUGGAUUAAUCUUGUUGAUACCAUGAUUUGUGAUUAGAAGCAGGGAUUGGUGGCUAGGAGAAUAUUGGCAAGCAAGGGUGUUACAUUAGGUGAAACUUUGGUGUAGAAUUUGAAUCAUGAAUUUCGCAUACUUCUAUAACUAGAUGAAGUUGAGAGGUUAAAGAAUUGGAUAUCCUUUUGUAGGGCUAACUGGAGUGCCUGUUUUGAAGGUCUAGAGAUAGAAGUUUACAAGAUUUUGUGCUAAAGGGUUUUUUGUUUUUAUGUCUUUAGGAAUUCCUCUUUUAUUUUCCUUCGAGUGAGGUGUAAAAUCAGGUUGCGGCAUAUAGUCAAAAAUGUAUCGUGCAUCUCUGGUGAGGCAGCGAUACAUACACAACAAAAUAGACAGAAAUUUUUGCGUAAAUUUUUUAGAUUUAAUGUUUUUGCUGUAACGUCGCUGCAAAGUUGCAGAUUCUUAUCUGGUAAUGUGUUUGCUCUGUAGUUUCCCUUAAGUGGGAUUUUCCUUUCUCAUUUGGAUGUAAGGAAGGUUGUUAUUUAGUGUGAUACAUUUUAGGGAUACCCAUCUAGGGUCCCCUAAUGAAUAAUUUACUGCAUAUUCUGAUGUUCA